UACGUAGGUGGCAAGCGUUAUCCGGAUUUAUUGGGCGUAAAGGGAACGCAGGCGGUCUUUUAAGUCUGAUGUGAAAGCCUUCGGCUUAACAGGAGUAGUGCAUUGGAAACUGGGAGACUUGAGUGCAGAAGAGGAGAGUGGAACUCCAUGUGUAGCGGUGAAAUGCGUAGAUAUAUGGAAGAACACCAGUGGCGAAAGCGGCUCUCUGGUCUGUAACUGACGCUGAGGUUCGAAAGCGUGGGUAGCAAACAGG
This 253-nucleotide ribosomal RNA is filed under the name uncultured bacterium. Its description in RNAcentral is "partial 16S ribosomal RNA". It matches the Rfam family "Bacterial small subunit ribosomal RNA", at positions 524 to 776 of the family's 1533-position model. The record is from RNAcentral.